AACGAACGCUGGCGGCAUGCCUAACACAUGCAAGUCGAACGAGACCUUCGGGUCUAGUGGCGCACGGGUGCGUAACGCGUGGGAAUCUGCCCGUCGGUUGGGAAUAAUUGAGAGACAUUUCAGCUAAUACCUUAUAAUGUCUUCGGACAAAAGAUUUAUCGUCCAGGGGUGAGCCCGCGUAGGAUUAGGAAGUUGGUGGGGUAAUGGCCUACCAAGGCGUCGCUCGUUAGCUGGUCAGAGAGGCUGAUCAGCCACUCUGGGACUGGGACACGGCGCGGACUACUACAGGAUGCAGCAGAGGGGGAUAUUGGACAAUCGGCGGAGGCCAGAUCCAGCAAGGCUGCGUGAGUGAUGAUGGCGUGAGAGAAGAAAAGCGCGUUUACCCGGGAUGAUAAUGACAGUACCGAGAGAAUAAGCUCCGGCUAACUCCGUG
RNAcentral lists this ribosomal RNA (433 nucleotides) under uncultured bacterium. RNAcentral describes it as "partial 16S ribosomal RNA". It matches the Rfam family "Bacterial small subunit ribosomal RNA", at positions 29 to 507 of the family's 1533-position model. The record is from RNAcentral.